RNAcentral lists this ribosomal RNA (262 nucleotides) under uncultured archaeon. Its description in RNAcentral is "partial 16S ribosomal RNA". It matches the Rfam family "Archaeal small subunit ribosomal RNA", at positions 748 to 1009 of the family's 1478-position model. The record is from RNAcentral.
UAGGCGUAAAUGAUGCGAGUUAAGUGUGGGGGCAUCUACGAGAUGGCCCUGUGCUGUAGGGUAGCCGUUAAACUCGCUGCCUGGGGAGUACGGUCGCAAGGCUGAAACUUAAAGGAAUUGGCGGGGGGAGCACAACAACGGGUGGAGCUUGCGGUUUAAUUGGACUCAACGCCGGAAAACUCAUCGGGAGCGACAGCAGUAUAAUUGCCAGGUUGAUGACCUUGCUUGACAAGCUGAGAGGAGGUGCAUGGCGUAGUCGUGU